RNAcentral lists this ribosomal RNA (429 nucleotides) under uncultured bacterium. RNAcentral's name for it is "bacterial SSU rRNA". It matches the Rfam family "Bacterial small subunit ribosomal RNA", at positions 29 to 507 of the family's 1533-position model. The record is from RNAcentral.
AACGAACGCUGGCGGCAGGCCUAACACAUGCAAGUCGAGCGCCCGCAAGGGAGCGGCGGACGGGUGAGUAACGCGUGGGAACGUGCCUCUUGCUACGGAAUAGCCUCGGGAAACUGGGAGUAAUACCGUAUGUGCCCUACGGGGGAAAGAUUUAUCGGCAAGAGAUCGGCCCGCGUUGGAUUAGGUAGUUGGUGGGGUAAUGGCCUACCAAGCCGACGAUCCAUAGCUGGUUUGAGAGGAUGAUCAGCCACACUGGGACUGAGACACGGCCCAGACUCCUACGGGAGGCAGCAGUGGGGAAUCUUAGACAAUGGGCGCAAGCCUGAUCUAGCCAUGCCGCGUGAGCGAUGAAGGCCUUAGGGUUGUAAAGCUCUUUCAGUGGGGAAGAUAAUGACUGUACCCACAGAAGAAGCCCCGGCUAACUCCGUG